Molecule: RNA transcript, 5141 nt
Organism: Strigops habroptila (Kakapo)
Lineage: Eukaryota; Metazoa; Chordata; Aves; Psittaciformes; Psittacidae
Gene name: choline transporter-like protein 5
Exons: 10
Source: RefSeq, a predicted model, not a curated record
CGCUGCUGUUCGCUGGAAGUGGCGGCGCGAUCCUGCGGGCCGGUACCGCGUGGUCGCCGCUUCCUCCCCGUGAGGAGUCGCCGCCGCCGCCGCUCCACGCUCAGGUGUCGGCGGGCGCGCGGAGUGCUCGUGGCCGCAGCCCGGCUUUCGCGCACCGGUUCUGGUCCCUCCGGCGCGCCGUCGGCGAGUGUCGCAUGCGCAGCGCCCGGGAGCAGCGCGGCGGCGCGCAGGGCCCGGGUCCAGGCGGCGGCGGCAGCAGAAGAAGAAUGCCUAGGAGAGACGGGUAAAGAAGAGCAGGGGGAAGAAACAAGACUGGAAAAGCAGUGCAGAAAAUGCCAGUGAAGAGCAGGGAGAAGAGAAGCAACAGCCUUCAGCCGGUCUGGCAAGAAACUGCCCCUCCCAGAGCAGAGUCCCAGGAAAAGGAAGAAGCUUGGGUGCACGGCGACCCCAGGGAAGUGAUUUAUCCAAUUGACAGCUACGGGCAGAUACCCCCAGUGAGAACAAGACCAUUUUGUUUAACAUUCUGGAAUGUGCCAGCCCCAUAGUGUUAAUAAACCUACAGUGCCUUACAACACAGCGGACUGGAAGCUCUGCAGAUCCACCAGGAUGUGUAGAGCCGACGGAGAUACAGGCGGUACUUGAUGUGCCAGCUUUGUGUCUCACAGUGCCCAGACAGGUUUGUGACCUACACUGAUGUUCAGGCUUCCUACAGAUACAAACCAUGAAGUGGAAUUACUUCAAGCAGUUCUGCAAACCUGGUUUUAACAGUCCUCUCAAGAAUGUCUAGUGCUCGUGGCUGGUACUUGAGCUUACCUGGCAUAUGAGGAACUGACACUUGCUGUUAUGUAUUGUUUUGGGUGCUAAUACUAUUCAUGAAGAAGAAGCCGCAGUUUUUGUAAGCUGCCCAGAUACUGACAGAGAUUCUUAAGAGAUGCUUCCCAGACUUCUCCACGAAGAGCGGUGUGCUAACCGUGGCAAAUCAGACUACAUUCAAAGAUGGAACAGGGAAAACAAGAAAUGUAACCGAUCUCAGGGAAGCUGCAAAGUAGGUUUUACCCUUCUUAAGUGCUGGUUUGUUGGAUUCUGGGACUGUGAAAUAAUAUAGGAAUUGAAAGAAAGUGAUCAGAACCUGUUGUAACAAAUGGCUGAGGGCACCCAGACAAGACUUGCUAGUAGAUGGUUUCUGUGCUUGAACACUUGCAAAGUUCCUGUCAGGAAAACCACUGUGGUCUGCAGAAAUGAGCAAGGAGCCAAAAGCUUUAGUCUGCCUCAGAAUGACUGUCAGUUUUUAAAACAUUCUACUUGGUUUUCCUAGUAAAAAUUAGUACCAAGGGAAGUUAAAGGAGGUUCAAAAUGAAAUCCUCAUGCAGCAGGACUUGGGCCAGCCAGUAAUGGCCUCAGCUCUUCCUUCCUACAGUGGCCUUUCUACUAACGUGGACUGUCCUGGUACGUGGGCAUCUCACCUCAUCAGCGUGCUCCUGUUUCUACCACAUGUCUAAAGGUCAAAAGGCAAUGUCCUGGGCUCUGAUGCCAGACAGCACCUCCCUUGCAGAUGGACAGCAAGCAUCUCCAAUCCUGGGUAUCAACCAGGAUGAGAGAAAACCGCUGCAAUAGCAUCCCUUUUCCAGCUGCUCUCCACCCACAGCCUGUAUGGAGCACAGGGGUACCUUUUCUUACCUCUUGAUCUGAGGCUACCACAUUCUAGCACCUUACGAAGUUUCCUUCUUCUGGAUUUUAAUGUAAGAUUCUGAUGGGUAUUUUUAUGUUUUUCCAAACUCACUUUGGAGUGUGUAGGGAAUUGAAAAAUAGAUCAUGUACAUGUUUAUUCCCAAACCUACUUUUAAACUCUGCCAUAAUGUUGUUAUGGUUCUGUACAUGAGGUAAGGCUAGCACAGCAUACAUGCAUACAGUAUGGUUUGGAGUAGCUUUUUAAUAUCCUACCAGGCAGAAACCCAGGAGGUGCUGUCUUCUGUUGCAGGACCCAUCUGCGUGGUAAUUCCAAAACUAAAAAAUCUUAAUUAAGAGACUUUCAAACCAAUUGCAGUUGCUAAAUGUCAUUGGUAUCUGUAGAAAACACAUCACGAUUUCCAAAUUCAUACUAGCAAUAUGUAGUUAAAUUCAUUAUAAUACAUAAAUCCAAUAUAACUCUGUAAAUCCAGUGCAACAGGCAAAGCAACUUAAAGAACAAAACAUAUUGAACGGUUAGCUUUAUCUUGCCAUUAUUACUCAAUAAUCAGCAAUUAGUAAAAAUGCAGCACCAAAAGAAAAGAAGUAGCUAUUUUGCUGAAGCAAAUACGUAAGUAUAUGUGCAUAAGUGGCUGUUCUCUCUACCUCAGUUAUUGAAAUCAGGCUUAUAGUGCAGAUUCUUUCAAAGGAGAUACUGCUCAACAGAUGGGCUGGAGAGAGAAUUGACCAUUUCUUGAACAGAAUUUCUCAAUAUUGAAGCCAGUUUCCACAUUUCAAAUAUGAUACUUUUAUAAGGAAUUGUUGUUACUUUUAAAGUAGUUGGAUAGAAUUUUCUUCACACGUUUCAGCAAAUGACAGCAUGCAUCAAAUGAUUUCUGGGCAAACAUAUUAAAGUGCCAGAGUUUGGGUGAUGACAGUGAAGGCCUAAUGGUGAAAGGAGGCAGGAUUAAAAAUUAAAUAUAGAAUUGCUCUGUUCUUUUUAUCAUACUCCCAAAGAACUGCUGCUUUCAAGGCUCAGUUUAAGGGAACUACUCUAUUAAGGACAGUUGUUGCCAUGUAUUCAUUCAGUUUUGGUGUUACUCGGACUCGUGUAAAUCUGAAGCUAACUGUAGAUAAAGGUAACUUACUCCUUUCAAGAAUAGAGUCAGAAAGUCCAAAAGGACAGCUUUAUUUUGAGAAAUACAUUCUGCAUUUAAAGGGCUAGGACUUCAGACCAGUUUACAAAGGUUUAACUAAAUAAACUGAUGUUCUUUUUCUUGUCCCUCCACCCAUCUGGCUUAGUUUGCCCAAAAUGUCUGUUUUUGGUUGAUUGUGAUCAGGCUGACCCAUUUUUUAUCUUUAGUAACUGGCUAAAUAAACUGGGAACGUUCAGAAGAGAAGUUCCUGAACACAGGCAAGAGAAGGCAUUCAAUUCUUUUAGGUCUAUUCUAAUACAAAAUUCUGAUGUGACACCUCAAAACUCUGAGAAAUGAAAUGUUCUGUGAAGCAACUGAGCUGGAUCUUUGUUGGAUGGAACCAUUGUUCACUUUGCUUUAUUCGCAUUGCUUUAGAAGCCCCCCCUGAGUAAAAAGGCCUUUUGCAGUCAUUUUUUCCUUUCUGACUUGCUUUCUGGGAGUGAAAUGAAAGCAAAUACUUUCUUACCACAGACUUGAUAAAGAUACUAUAGAUGUCUUUCUGGGGGUCCCACUGAUGGCUCUUAACAGUUUCUUUCUAUGCAUCACUAUGCCAGAUCAUUUUCUUUUCCGAUGGGUAGAAAGUCACUGGUUUUCCUCCUAAAUCGAAUUCUUUUUUUCUAGGAAAGCUCCUCAAAUGUCACUUUACUAAUAUUGUUUCUUUGCAAGCAGGGAUUUUAAACGGAGGACAUAAACCAGCAACCUCCCCACUCACAGGUAUUUCUCCAAUUUAACUUUCUGUGCUGUAGACUGGGCCAUGGCCUGAAAAAGGCAGUGAGUUGGUCAGCCAGUGUAAAUGACCAAACCAGACAUGUACUGGUCCCAUUCAGACACCCUGAGAACUUAGUGUGUGCAAACAUUUCUGGCUGUGUCCUGUGAGAUCAUCGUAUGUAAUCUAUCUGUUUCUAGCAGCAGAGAGCCAUGAGGAUAUAUUUCAUGAGGAGUAUUUUGAAAUACGUUUCUACAAACCAUUCUCUUACAUGAAAUGAAGUGACCCUCAUUUGGAGUAACAGGCACGCAAGAAAGAUUCUCACACUUGUUUUCCCUGUGCUUCUGUUUCUUGUCUUCCUAGUGGGCUGUUCAUUGCAAUGAUUAUGAGUCUGCUCUUCCCUGUGUUAUUGAGGUUCACAGCUGGGGUUCUUUUCUGGAUUUUCAUCUUUGGUGUGAUUGGAAUUAUGGGUUAUGGUAGGUGUAAUCCUCCAGCCUCUGAGGCUGUUUUUCCUUACUGCUUAAUUUUGGGCAAAUAAAGUAAGUGAUUACAUCAAUUAAAUGCUAUAGCUGUGAGAACUAGUGCCUAGGUUUAGACACAGUUAAGUGAGAAGGGCUUAAAUGGCAGUGAAAUUUAGUAAGAAUCCAGCUGUGCUGAUACUUAGCACCAGAGGUAGUAACCCGAACUAUCUACCCACAGUGUGCUUAGUCUGUAUUCACUUGUACUGAUCUUUCUUUUCUAUAUACGUGAUGUUACAGCUGACUAGUCUCUCAGUAAUGCGUGUUUGGGUUUUGCUUACCUGACAUGCUGAGGACAAAACACUUCACUUGUCAAAGAUUUAAAAAAACCCCAACCUUGUCUUUGCACUCUUCAGAAACACUCAUUUUAUGUUGAUUGUUUUUUAACAGGCAUCUGGCAUUGUUACUGGGAGUACGACCAUCUUAAAAGAAUACCUGGAUCUGACCUCACUGUUUAUGAUACUGGAUUCCAGAGAGACUUCAGAGUGUGCCUGCAGCUGAGGCAAACAUGGGGCGCUGCUGGCGGCUGGUUACUGGGUGUUACUGGGCACCUUCCUCUCCCCCCAUACCCCGCCCCGGCCUCAUCACCUUCCUCCAAGUGGCAAAUCUGCCCAUCGUCAUCCUCAGCAGGCUCCUUCAAGCUGCCACCAACUACCGCCAGGGCCACACAGAGCAGCUCUUGGGGGUCACCACCACCCUCCUGUUCUGGGGGGGCCGGGUGCGGGUCUUCCCUUCAGGUGAGACCCCCCACCUUGGACCCCCAAAUCCCCUUUUCCAGCCCCACCAAUGUUCUUCCGUCUCCAACAGGAGACAGGGCACCUGCGCCUGGCCUUGACCUUCGCCACAUCAGCCGCCUGCAAUGGGCUCCCAUUGGGGCAGCUGCUGUAUUAUGGGGGGAGGAACCCACAAACCUCCUCCUCACCGCAAGGUGGACUGACCCCGGAUCCCCCCAUAACCCCUCCCCACAACGGAACAAACCGAGGGGGUGGGGUGUUAAAAAGGGGGUUUUUGUGGGGUCAAACAUCCCCCCGUUAAUAAAAUGGGUUUUCACUGGUG